RNAcentral lists this ribosomal RNA (253 nucleotides) under uncultured bacterium. RNAcentral describes it as "partial 16S ribosomal RNA". It matches the Rfam family "Bacterial small subunit ribosomal RNA", at positions 524 to 776 of the family's 1533-position model. The record is from RNAcentral.
UACGUAGGGGGCAAGCGUUGUCCGGAAUCAUUGGGCGUAAAGAGCGUGUAGGUGGCUCGGUAAGUCCGCUGUGAAAGUCCAGGGCUCAACCCUGGAAAGCCGGUGGAAACUGUCGAGCUAGAGUCCGGAAGAGGCGAGUGGAAUUCCUGGUGUAGCGGUGAAAUGCGCAGAUAUCAGGAGGAACACCAAUGGCGAAGGCAGGUCUCUGGGCCGAUACUGACGCUGAGGAGCGAAAGCGUGGGGAGCGAACAGG